GAUGAACGCUAGCGGGAGGCCUAACACAUGCAAGCCGAGCGGGAUUCGAGACUAGCUUGCUAGUCUUAAUGAGAGCGGCGUACGGGUGCGGAACACGUGUGCAACCUGCCUUUAUCUGGGAGAUAGCCUUUCGAAAGGAAGAUUAAUAUCCCAUAAUAUAAUGAUUGGCAUCAAUUAUUAUUGAAAGCUCCGGCGGAUAGAGAUGGGCACGCGCAAGAUUAGAUAGUUGGUGAGGUAACGGCUCACCAAGUCGAUGAUCUUUAGGGGGCCUGAGAGGGUGAUCCCCCACACUGGUACUGAGACACGGACCAGACUCCUACGGGAGGCAGCAGUGAGGAAUAUUGGACAAUGGGUGAAAGCCUGAUCCAGCCAUCCCGCGUGAAGGAUUAAGGACCUAUGGUUUGUAAACUUCUUUUCUACAGGGAUAAACCUACUCUCGUGAGAGUAGCUGAAGGUACUGUAGGAAUAAGCACCGGCUAACUCCGUGCCAGCCGCCGCAGUAA
This 503-nucleotide ribosomal RNA is filed under the name uncultured bacterium. RNAcentral describes it as "partial 16S ribosomal RNA". It matches the Rfam family "Bacterial small subunit ribosomal RNA", at positions 28 to 523 of the family's 1533-position model. The record is from RNAcentral.